UAGUCAUAUGCUUGUCUUAAAGAUUAAUCCAUGCAUGUGUAAGUAUAAGUAUUGUACAGCGAAACUGCGAAUGGCUCAUUACAUCAGUUAUAAUUUAUUUGAUAAUCGAAAGUUACAUGGAUAACCGUGACAAAUUACAGCUAAUACAUGCAGUCAGACCUGGUCCAAGGGUCGUAAUUAUUAGUAUUAAACCAUUUCCGCAAGGAGUGUGAUGAAUCAUAAUAAUCGAACGAAUCGCCUGGUGUGCGAUAAAUCAUUCAAGUUUCUGCCCUAUCAGCUUUGGAUGGUAGUGUAUUGGACUACCAUGGCAGUCACGGGUAACGGAGAAUUAGGGUUCGAUUCCGGAGAGGGAGCCUGAGAAACGGCUACCACAUCUACGGAAGGCAGCAGGAGCGAAAAUUGCCCAAUCCCGACACGGGGAGGCAGUGACGAGAAAUAACAACUCUUGGUUAUUCUAAGAAGUGUAAUGAGGAUAAUUUAAAACCCUUACCGAAAGCAAUU
RNAcentral lists this ribosomal RNA (501 nucleotides) under uncultured eukaryote. RNAcentral's name for it is "SSU rRNA". It matches the Rfam family "Eukaryotic small subunit ribosomal RNA", at positions 21 to 549 of the family's 1831-position model. The record is from RNAcentral.